UGGCGGACGGGUGAGUAAUGUCUGGGUAACUGCCUGAUGGAGGGGGAUAACUACUGGAAACGGUAGCUAAUACCGCAUAACGUCGCAAGACCAAAGAGGGGGACCUUCGGGCCUCUUGCCAUCGGAUGUGCCCAGAUGGGAUUAGCUAGUAGGUGGGGUAACGGCUCACCUAGGCGACGAUCCCUAGCUGGUCUGAGAGGAUGACCAGCCACACUGGAACUGAGACACGGUCCAG
Molecule: ribosomal RNA, 235 nt
Filed under: uncultured bacterium
Lineage: Bacteria
Description: partial 16S ribosomal RNA
Rfam family: Bacterial small subunit ribosomal RNA
Source: RNAcentral